Molecule: ribosomal RNA, 332 nt
Filed under: uncultured bacterium
Lineage: Bacteria
Description: bacterial SSU rRNA
Rfam family: Bacterial small subunit ribosomal RNA
Source: RNAcentral
GAUCAUGAGUCCGCAUGUUCACAUGAUUAAAGGUAUUCCGGUAGACGAUGGGGAUGCGUUCCAUUAGAUAGUAGGCGGGGUAACGGCCCACCUAGUCUUCGAUGGAUAGGGGUUCUGAGAGGAAGGUCCCCCACAUUGGAACUGAGACACGGUCCAAACUCCUACGGGAGGCAGCAGUGAGGAAUAUUGGUCAAUGGGCGAGAGCCUGAACCAGCCAAGUAGCGUGAAGGAUGACUGCCCUAUGGGUUGUAAACUUCUUUUAUAAAGGAAUAAAGUCGGGUAUGUAUACCCGUUUGCAUGUACUUUAUGAAUAAGGAUCGGCUAACUCCGUG